UACCUUCCAAAUGAUCUGUCUAGCCACCAUCAGGAUCUUCCUAUGUUUCGUAUCAUUCCUCUCGAUUCAUAAAAACUAGACUAUCAAUAGAGGAAUGGUAGUGCAAAUGUGUCCACAACAAAUUUACUGUACAUAAUAUCUCCAUCUCUAAAAUCUCUGUCUAACCUCUUCUCUUGAUCUCAUAAGUAUCUGAAAAAAGUUCCCAAAGUAUUGCCAUAGCUGAUCGGAUAUGCUAUUACUAGUGACGAUAUGACUGAUGGUCUCAAUCUCAGAACAACACUAACAUCGAGAAGCAAACUGACACCCAGUCUCUUCUAAAUGACAACACCUAUUGGAAUGAGAUCCUGCUAUAAUCACCAGCAGAAGAAUGAAACACAUGUAAGCAAAAUGGAGCUCCACAUUAAUUGAUACGAGUCCUGAGAUUAGCGAACCAAAUUGAUUUAGCAAAGAUACCAUCCGAUGUAACCUUCCUUAUAAUAUGGUCUGGGACAUCUCUACAUACCUAUCUGUCCCUCUAUGUGAGGAGGAAGAGCCAGUAAUAAUCAUCCAAAAUCCCAUCCAGUGUUAUAAAAAAUCAUGUAACCUUGCAAAUGUGUGCUGCCUAUAUGGGAACAUGGAUGCCAGUGUAGUAUCACCCAUCCAGCAAUUGUGCCAGAAGAACAUAUGUCCUACGUCAAGGUGCCAUGCAAUGUGUAGCUCAGUGUGUGGCACAACUCUUUUCAACCUUUUCCAGGUAGGAGAGGCCUAGUAGGGAACCGCUGCAAGUGAUGGAUGAGCCCCCAUAUAAUAUUUGCCUAGUAAGAACUGAGUCCAAAGAGAACUAUGAGACUAAAACAACUACCAAAGCUUCACAGAGAAAAUGUCCCCCACAUCCUAUAGUUUCCUAAAGCCUAGUCCGCCCCCGUCUAUUGGAAGGAAAAUCUCCUUCUAACUCCUCCAGUGUAGUUGACGUGGUUGUCCCUUAGAAUUUCAUAGGAAUCAUGCAAAGAUGCUCUCCAACUUUUUCAAUACAGCUUGGGAGGCUGCAUAAUUUAAAAAAAAAAAAAAAAAAGUGGUAGAGAUGAUAGUAGUGAUUUAAACAGAGUAAUUCGGCCUGCAGGUAAUAGUAGUUGAGAAGCCCAGCCUAAUAAUCUGCUCUUGAUCUUCAUGAUGAGUUCAUCCUAUAAAAAAUUUCUCUUGGCCCCCUUAGACAAGGGAAUUCUCAAAUAAGUAAACGGGUGCUGUUGAUGUGUAAACUCAAUCAAAAACAAAAGUUUCCUGACCUGAAUAUCUAAUGCUCAUCUAGGUAGUAUAAGACCGCUCCUAUCUCGAUUUACCAACUGGCCAAAAAACCCCCGUAAUGCUCCAAACAAUCGAGAACCCUCCUGAUAGAUUGUUUCUGGCCAUUGGCAAAUUUUAUCAUGUUAUCAGGAGAAGAAAUAUGAAAGACAAGGAUGCUACCUCCAUGCCGAUAAUGCAUAUUGGGACAGGCUUGAAAUUGCUGAGUGACAAUGCGAGGGAAAUUGUCUGCAACAAUAAUGAACAAGGAACGUGAGAUGGAAUUACCCUGUCUGAGCCCACGUGAAGAUGGAAAAAAAAAUAGGGGUGGACAGAUGUUUUAGAUGAAUGUUGAUGGCUAGACAC
RNAcentral lists this long non-coding RNA (1623 nucleotides) under Olea europaea subsp. europaea. Lineage: Eukaryota; Viridiplantae; Streptophyta; Magnoliopsida; Lamiales; Oleaceae. The record is from RNAcentral.